AACAAACGCUGGCGGCGUGCCUAAUACAUGCAAGUCGAACGGGGAAAGUAGCAAUACGAGUACUAGUGGCGCACGGGUGAGGAAUACAUGGGUAAUCUGCCCUCGAGUUUGGGAUAACCAGUCGAAAGAUUGGCUAAUACCGGAUAUGACCACAGGAUCUGCGGAUCUAGGGGUAAAAGGUUUUUCGCUCGAGGAUGAGCCCAUGUGGGAUUAGCUAGUUGGUGAGGUAACGGCUCACCAAGGCGACGAUCCCUAACUGGUCUUAGAGGAUGAUCAGUCACACUGGAACUGAGACACGGUCCAGACUCCUACGGGAGGCAGCAGUAGGGAAUAUUGCACAAUGGAGGAAACUCUGAUGCAGCGACGCCGCGUGAGUGAUGAAGGCCUUCGGGUCGUAAAGCUCUGUCGUAUGGGACUAACACAAUGAAGGUACCAUGCAAGAAAGGAUCGGCUAACUUCGUGCCAGCCGCCGCGGUAA
RNAcentral lists this ribosomal RNA (478 nucleotides) under uncultured bacterium. Its description in RNAcentral is "partial 16S ribosomal RNA". It matches the Rfam family "Bacterial small subunit ribosomal RNA", at positions 29 to 523 of the family's 1533-position model. The record is from RNAcentral.